This is a long non-coding RNA of Ochotona princeps (American pika), 712 nucleotides long. RefSeq lists it as uncharacterized. The record is from RefSeq and is a predicted model, not a curated record. Lineage: Eukaryota; Metazoa; Chordata; Mammalia; Lagomorpha; Ochotonidae. The transcript is spliced from 4 exons.
UUCCGGGCGGGCCCGGAUCCGCCGCCGCCCGCUGGCCCCGGGCGUCCAGCACCGGGGGCCUGGCUCGGCUAGGGGUCCUUUGCCUUGUGCACCGCUUAGCUGGGCUGAAGCAGCUUUCGUGGGCCGGCCGAGCUGCUGACCCUGGACCCCGCGCACACACCCCAGCGGGAGUCAGGGACAGCCUGUGUCCACAGGGCGGUGUAGCCUAGUGGACUGGUGUUGAGGAGGAGGAGAUGAACCUGGCUUGGAGGUCUCAGGCUGAGGAGGGGUCGGGCGGCCCCGGAUGCCUGGAAUGUGCAGAAGAGCAAGUGAUGGCCCCCGGACGGGAUUUGGGCAAAUUAAGCUGCAAAGAAGCCAGUGUCUGCAGAGGCACUACAAUUAAGAUCACUCAACUCCUUAGAGGCCAAACUUGAAGAUCCUACGUGGUUGCUGUUGCCUUCGUCUUAUCCCUGAUGACCUCUCUUCAACUCUGCCAGCUAAGCUCUCUGUGGUGUCCUGGCCCCAUUCCUUCUCUGCUGUUGGGUAACCUGAGAAGACUCCGGAUCCUGGAGCUGUUGCCAGGGGAAUCCUAGAGUGUGCACUUGCUCUCCACUUUGCUCUCCAACCGAAGACACUUGGAUUUAUGUUCAGGAAUUUUUCCUCCCUGAUCUUUGUGUACAGUUUGAGACUGGUGAAAAUCACCACAUUUCCACAGCUACUCGCCAGUGGAAAG